UACGAAGGGAGCUAGCGUUGUUCGGAAUCACUGGGCGUAAAGCGCACGUAGGCGGACGUGUCAGUCAGGGGUGAAAUCCCGGAGCUCAACUUCGGAACUGCCUUUGAUACAGCACGUCUUGAGUCCGGAAGAGGUGGGUGGAAUUCCUAGUGUAGAGGUGAAAUUCGUAGAUAUUAGGAAGAACACCGGUGGCGAAGGCGACAUCCUGGACCGGUAUUGACGCUGAGGCGCGAAAGCCAGGGGAGCAAACGGG
Molecule: ribosomal RNA, 253 nt
Filed under: uncultured bacterium
Lineage: Bacteria
Description: partial 16S ribosomal RNA
Rfam family: Bacterial small subunit ribosomal RNA
Source: RNAcentral